Molecule: long non-coding RNA, 461 nt
Filed under: Parus major (Great Tit)
Lineage: Eukaryota; Metazoa; Chordata; Aves; Passeriformes; Paridae
Description: lncRNA (ENSPMJG00000017861.1)
Source: RNAcentral
UAUAGGCAAGUUAAGCUUCCCUCUGAAGUUGGAUAGUGACAGUAAUUACUGUCUCGCCUCCUAAGAGCUACACCUGUCAGUAACCAAGUAUCUAGCAUUGCACUUUGUCAUCUGCAAGCCUCUAUCGGCACCCUGUGAAAUGUGUUUAUCAUUUCUUCCACUACAGACACUUUAAACUCAAGAUCAAACCUUGCAGAGAAGUUUGGCUUCGCGAAUUUGGUGUUCAGAUCACAGCAGCCUGAACUGAGUGCAUCAUUCUGUGAUGCAACAGAGACAGAUUGUGACCUAUUCACCAAUAGAAAAUCCCAGGAAUGAGUAGGAAUUCCCUGGAAGAAAAGACUCAGGAUGAGUAGCUGAUCUGGAUCCUCCUUGAGGCAGCGAUGACAUCCGGCACUGCAGACUGUGGUUCCUCAGCCAGCCAUUAAACGAGCUAGACCAGUGCUGCAGGUCCAACACACUGG